This 3526-nucleotide long non-coding RNA is filed under the name Medicago truncatula (barrel medic). RNAcentral's name for it is "long non-coding RNA (MTRU_LNC000727)". Lineage: Eukaryota; Viridiplantae; Streptophyta; Magnoliopsida; Fabales; Fabaceae. The record is from RNAcentral.
UUCAAACAUUGAACAAUCAAUGGAAUGCAUAACACAAUCAUCAUUCGAAUUCCUAUGAUAACUUACACAACCCACAAAAAUUUGAUUACCAGCUUAAAAAGCCUACUCCAAGUCACACACAUACAUGCAUGUACAAAAAAGUCAUAGAAAUAUGGAAAGCAAACACUAUCUCUCACAUUGGUUGUUUCUCGUUAGGGCUGAAAAUAGGUAAACACACGUUGCAGUUAGGAAACAAAUCUGCUCUUCCAAGCAUUUCCAAAUGAAGAAAUUAAAUGCAACUUUUUGUGGAAAGCGAGUGAACCCUAAAUAAAUAUCUUCAAAAUAGUCACUUAUUGAUGAUGCCUGCACCACUCACUCACUGAAAAUCUCUUUUAUUUCAUGACCCUACAAUCAUAUCAUAGUUGAAAUCCACUUCAUCACGCGCAUGCUUCAUACAAAUCAUCAUUAUCUUGCUUUUGAUUGGAGAGUGUAAUACACAGCACUUUCCAUUUUUGGUUCAAUGUAACAUGGUGGAAAGAGUUACUAUUAUGUGAGCAAGUUGGUUCAUAAAUGUCCAAAGCAUCUGUCACUAGCUAAUUAAAGGUUUUUUGGGAUGGCCUACUCACAUUAUAGUGGCCCUCCUGAUGAGAUCCAGAACCCAAAUCUUGAUUGAUAGUGAUACAAAGAUUAGCCAUUGCCAAUUCCAAUUUUGAUAUAGGACCCGUUCUAUCAAAUUUGGGUUCCAUUAUUGAAGAGAGAACCACAUAUUCUACAUCAAUUAGUCAAUGUUUUCUUUAUAUAUUUGGUUCUUCUUUAUAGAAUCAAGAUCACUAUGAUUGAUAUUUGUUACUAUAUUCUGUUUUCUUUUUAUUGGAACUUUUAUUAAUUAUGGUGAUUAAUGGGAUGACUCUUAUAAUUUGUGGUUGGAUUAACACAAUCAUACAAAAUCAACUUGUGAGAUGAAGAUUGUCUCCACUUAUAAACUGAAGCAAGAUUUGAGUGAUCUGAUAGUGAAACUUGUGAUUAAAUCUUAAACAACCUCACUAAAUCGAUUUGUAAGAGGAUAAUUGAGUUCACUUAUAAAUGUUUGUUCAUGCCAUAAUACUUUUAAUUUGAGGUUUUAACCGUGUCAAAAUAGUCAAACUCGACAUACCAACCCAUUUUUUUAAGUAGUGACCUCAAAUUUUGAAGUCUAUCGUUUAAGUUGGACUAUACCGCUUACCCUCCAAAAAAAACAAGACAACGACAGAGGGCAUAUGGUUUGCCGGUUUAGAUAAAAACUAUGCAAGUUAAUUUUCUUUCUAAAAAUGUAAGUUAAUUUUCCUUACCGUCAAUUUAUUGAGGUUAAAUUAUUGGGUCUUGUUUACGACUAUCUCCGGAGUACUCUUUAAGCAUAUCAAAUUUAGAAAAUAUUCUUCAAUAAAGUCAAAUGUUAUAAGUUUCAAUGCAUUAAUUACAUAAAUUUUCAUAAAAACUUACUAUUAAAGGUGCUUAAAGAGUACCAUAGAAACACUCAUUAACAUUUCCCUAAAUUAUUUUUUCCUACCAACUUAUUAUACUUUUUAAAUUCCAUUAAUGAGUUGCCUCAUUUUGCCAAAAACAAAAACAAAAACUCUCCGGUCUUAAAUUAUAAGUUUUGUUUUACUACUUUCUAUUUAAAAGAGAAAUUGUGAAUUUUAUAAAAUUAUUCUUCAUUAAUAGUAUGAAAAAGAUAAAUUAUAAAAUGAAAAGAAGAGGGUAAUAAAUAAUUAAUAGUAUAUAGAUGAAAAAAUUAAUAUUUUAUUGAUAUUGUAAAACGAAUAAGAAUAAUUUAUGACUAAGUUUUUCUCUAAAGGCUUUGUUUGGGAGUUUGGAGGGGAUGAAAGGAAAUGCUUUGAGGGGUGUAAAAUAUGAGGAAAAAUAGAGAAAUCUUUCAAAAAAAUUAAAAGAGUAGUUUUUUAAAGAAUGAUAAAUUAAUGCAUAUGAUUACUUUAUUUUUAAUUUUAAAAAUAUUAUAACAACAUAAAUUAAAUUCGAAGAAUUCUUAUUAACCCCCCAAAAUCCUCCUCCAAUACAAUUUUUUAGUUCCUCCAAAUGAGGAGGGUUUUGUAUUAUGAAGAAAAGUCAACCCCAAAGCCCUCCUCUCCCAUUAUCCUCUAUUUCUUUCACUUACUUAUUCCUUUUUUUCCAAGACUUCCCCUCCCUUCUCAUCCAAACUCGCAAACAAAGCCUAAAACAACACAUAAUUGACGAUAGAGGGAUUAGGUUAUAUAGUAUUGACACAAGUUUACUUCCUUUGAUCUCAUGCGGUAAAUUUAAUCAUUAAUCUAGUAUUUGGUCAUAGUUAAAGGUUCUUCAUCCAUCUAUAAUAAUAAGGUUCUCGAUCAAAAGCUUAUUUUAGACAUUAACAAUGAAAAGUAAUCCACUUGAAUUGAAUUGAUGGUAUUGACUUGAAAUUUGGGAGUAUAUUCGUCUUUAAGGUUUCAGGUUCGAUUUUCCUAAUACCAAUUUUGUGAGAGAGUAAAAAAUUUCCCAGUACCAAUUUUCCUAAUGCCAAUUUUGAAACUAGAAAAAUAUAUUUAAAACUAGCCACCAAAGAUUUGAAAUAGAGAGUAAAAAACAAGACUCAGCUUUUGUACCAAGAAAAAAAAAAGGACUCGGCCCAAUUGAAAAGAUUUUUUUUUAAGGAACCAAUUGAAAAGUUAUUAUAGCAACAAAGAUGCAUGCACAUAUUGCAUACCCUCUCCAAAAAAACAAAGAUGCAUGCAUAUAUACGAUGAAAGAAGAAAAACAAAACCACAGGCUUACAUGUUACUAGCUUUGUUUCAGUAAUAAUCCAAUUGAUAACCACCAAUGCAACUUUUUCAGUUUGAUUAGAAAAGACAUCUUGAAUUGAUAUUUAAAGAGCAUCAAUGAAGAAGGUGAUAAUACACAAGGAUACUCCAAUUUAAUAACGGACAAAACAUCCACAGUUUGAUUGAUUUGAAGGAUUGAUUUUAACAAGAAUAUGUAUACUAAAUGAAAGAUUAGCAGUUUAUUAUAGGACCCUACACAAAUUUUUGUCGAUAUUAAAAAUAUUCAAGAUCUGCAUUAAUUAAAAGAAGAUCUCAUAUAAAAGUUCAAGAAGGAUAGACACUCAAAGUCGAUUAGUAACUUUUUUAAGAACAUUUAUGUGUCUCAAAACCCAAGUACUAGUUUAUCCAUUGAAUGAUCAACCGUAGAUAUGCAUGCACUAAUAUAUAUUUUACUAAACAUUUUAAUAUAGUUAGUUAUAGUAUAUAAAAAAAAUGAUUAAAAAUGCAGGGGUGUUGUUGUGUACAAGUGUGAGUUAUAUGUCUCACAUCAGAUAAAAGAGUAAAGGUUGAAUACCUUAUAAGUAAGAGGACUCAUAAAUCCAUUGUCCUAAAGUUGUGGGUAAAAGUGUGGCGUCUCUCUUGCUUGUGCGGUUGUUCUAGCCUCGAUGUGGAUGGUCCCCCGAACUCCCCUCAUGACCCAUGACCCAACAGGGAGACCAUGGCCUUUAAAGGCUCCAAUUCCCUCCGCCCCUGCUUUUGUAUUUUCAAAAGAG